RNAcentral lists this transfer RNA (72 nucleotides) under Perca fluviatilis (European perch). RNAcentral describes it as "tRNA-Ser". The stretch from base 7 to 63 matches the Rfam family "tRNA", at positions 8 to 63 of the family's 71-position model. From Rfam's summary of the family: Transfer RNA (tRNA) molecules are approximately 80 nucleotides in length. Their secondary structure includes four short double-helical elements and three loops (D, anti-codon, and T loops). The record is from RNAcentral. Lineage: Eukaryota; Metazoa; Chordata; Actinopteri; Perciformes; Percidae.
UGGAAAUAGCUCAGUUAGCAGAGCGUUAGACUGGAGAGUUAAAGGUCCCUGGUUCAAUCCAGGAUUUGGCAG